UCAAAAUAUUGGGACAUAUAAAAAAAGACAACUCUGUUCCACAGAGUAGUUGUUGACAUUAUAGUUGCUCAGGCACUUUAACUCUAGAGAACCUCGGGCCAAUCGCACAUCCCCGUGACAGCGACUUUGCAUUUGGAUGUCAUCCAUAUCAACUUUCGAUGCCAGUUUCUGCGCCUACCAUGGUGACCACAGGUAACUGGAAAUCAGGGUUCCAUUCCGUACAGGGACCCUGAGAAACAGCUACCACAUGCAAGGAAGGCAGCAGGCAUGCAAAUGACCCACUCCCAACGCGGGAAGGUAGUGACGA
RNAcentral lists this ribosomal RNA (307 nucleotides) under Pelobates cultripes (western spadefoot toad). RNAcentral's name for it is "SSU_rRNA_microsporidia". It matches the Rfam family "Eukaryotic small subunit ribosomal RNA", at positions 174 to 473 of the family's 1831-position model. The record is from RNAcentral. Lineage: Eukaryota; Metazoa; Chordata; Amphibia; Anura; Pelobatidae.